This 439-nucleotide ribosomal RNA is filed under the name Mycoplasmopsis primatum. RNAcentral's name for it is "bacterial LSU rRNA". It matches the Rfam family "Bacterial large subunit ribosomal RNA", at positions 1171 to 1629 of the family's 2925-position model. Lineage: Bacteria; Bacillati; Mycoplasmatota; Mycoplasmoidales; Metamycoplasmataceae. The record is from RNAcentral.
UUUAACGGGAGUAAAACACGAUACCGAAGCUACGGGCACAUUUGUGCGUUAGAGGAGCGUUCUUAGGGCAAUGAAGUCAGACCGUAAGGACUGGUGGAGCGCUAAGAAGUGAGAAUGCCGGUAUGAGUAACGAUUCGUAGUGAGAAUCUACGACGCCUAUUGGGGAAGGUUUCCUGGGCAAGGUUCGUCCACCCAGGGUUAGUCAGGACCUAAGGCGAGGCUGAAAAGCGUAGUCGAUGGACAACAGGUUAAUAUUCCUGUACUUUCUUUAAAUGUGAUGGAGUGACGGAGAAGGAUAAUCAUACCUAUUACUGGAUUUAGGGGUAAAUGAUAACUGGUGAUUGUAGGCAAAUCCGCAAUCUAUAACCGGGAGUUAUGAUGCAUAGAGUCUUGCGACUUGAAUUUGAUGAUUUCAUGCUUCCUAAAAAAGCUUCUAAAC